CUGUUAUCAUACAGCACAGAUACUAAAAUUGGAAUGAUACAGAGAAGAUUAGCAUGGCCCCUGCACAAGGAUGACAUGCAAAUUUGUGAAACACCCCAUAUUUUU
RNAcentral lists this small nuclear RNA (105 nucleotides) under Loxodonta africana (African savanna elephant). Lineage: Eukaryota; Metazoa; Chordata; Mammalia; Proboscidea; Elephantidae. The record is from RNAcentral.